Molecule: non-coding RNA, 102 nt
Organism: Lysinibacillus sphaericus OT4b.31
Lineage: Bacteria; Bacillati; Bacillota; Bacilli; Caryophanales; Bacillaceae
Source: Rfam
AAUGUAAAUUAAAUAAGUCGUCGUAUAAUGUCGGGGAUAAGGCCCGUGAGUUUCUACCAAGUUACCGUAAAUAACUUGACUACGAUUUAGUGUUAUACGAAU